Molecule: ribosomal RNA, 165 nt
Filed under: Trianthema pilosum
Lineage: Eukaryota; Viridiplantae; Streptophyta; Magnoliopsida; Caryophyllales; Aizoaceae
Description: 5.8S ribosomal RNA
Rfam family: 5.8S ribosomal RNA
About the family: 5.8S ribosomal RNA (5.8S rRNA) is a component of the large subunit of the eukaryotic ribosome. It is transcribed by RNA polymerase I as part of the 45S precursor that also contains 18S and 28S rRNA.
Source: RNAcentral
UGUAAUGACUCUCGGCAACGGAUAUCUCGGCUCUCGCAUCGAUGAAGAACGUAGCGAAAUGCGAUACCUGGUGUGAAUUGCAGAAUCCCGUGAACCAUCGAGUCUUUGAACGCAAGUUGCGCCCGAAGCCGUUAGGCUGACGGCACGCCUGCCUGGGCGUCACGC